GUGGCUGAAGGGUUAAGCAUUUGGCUGCUAACAAAAAGGUGGGUGGUUCGAACCCACCC
This 59-nucleotide transfer RNA is filed under the name Loxodonta africana (African savanna elephant). It matches the Rfam family "tRNA", at positions 7 to 64 of the family's 71-position model. Rfam says of the family: Transfer RNA (tRNA) molecules are approximately 80 nucleotides in length. Their secondary structure includes four short double-helical elements and three loops (D, anti-codon, and T loops). Further hydrogen bonds mediate the characteristic L-shaped molecular structure. tRNAs have two regions of fundamental functional importance: the anti-codon, which is responsible for specific mRNA codon recognition, and the 3' end, to which the tRNAs corresponding amino acid is attached (by aminoacyl-tRNA synthetases). tRNAs cope with the degeneracy of the genetic code in two manners: having more than one tRNA (with a specific anti-codon) for a particular amino acid; and 'wobble' base-pairing, i.e. permitting non-standard base-pairing at the 3rd anti-codon position. Lineage: Eukaryota; Metazoa; Chordata; Mammalia; Proboscidea; Elephantidae. The record is from Rfam by way of RNAcentral.